UAAGUAUGUAAAUCAAAAUUAGAGCAGC
RNAcentral lists this non-coding RNA (28 nucleotides) under Bombyx mori (domestic silkworm). RNAcentral also lists the same sequence under 1 other name. The record is from RNAcentral. Lineage: Eukaryota; Metazoa; Arthropoda; Insecta; Lepidoptera; Bombycidae.